This 215-nucleotide long non-coding RNA is filed under the name Phoenix dactylifera (date palm). RNAcentral describes it as "long non-coding RNA (PDAC_LNC005612)". Lineage: Eukaryota; Viridiplantae; Streptophyta; Magnoliopsida; Arecales; Arecaceae. The record is from RNAcentral.
AUUUGCCUUGGUCUAUUCCUUUUGUCAGCCAUCUUGGCAAAUGCAUACGCCUUGACUUGGGGCUUUAGGAACCUUAUCUAAUUCCUUUUCAAAUCCUCCAUGUGUAUGGGGAUCCUUGGAUGUUAAGGUAUGGUGUAAACAAAUUUACACUCCUUUGCCGAUAUCAUAUCACUUUAUGUAGAGCCUUCUAGGCUUGCACCAGAAAAAUAAGGGCU